AGUGAACGCUGGCGGUAGGCCUAACACACGCAAGUCGAACGGCAGCACAGUAAGAGCUUGCUCUUACGGGUGGCGAGUGGCGGACGGGUGAGGAAUACAUCGGAAUCUACUUUUUCGUGGGGGAUAACGUAGGGAAACUUACGCUAAUACCGCAUACGACCUACGGGUGAAAGCAGGGGAUCUUCGGACCUUGCGCGAUUGAAUGAGCCGAUGUCGGAUUAGCUAGUUGGCGGGGUAAAGGCCCACCAAGGCGACGAUCCGUAGCUGGUCUGAGAGGAUGAUCACCCACACUGGAACUGAGACACGGGCCAGACCCCCACGGGAGGCAGCAGGGGGGAAUAUUGGACAAUGGGCGCAAGCCUGAUCCAGCCAUACCGGGGGGGUGAAGAAGGCCUUCGGGUUGUAAAGCCCUUUUGUUGGGAAAAAAAAGCAGCAGGUUAAACCCCCGCUGUUCUGACGGUACCCAAAGAAAAAGCACCGGCUGACUUCUU
RNAcentral lists this ribosomal RNA (491 nucleotides) under uncultured bacterium. RNAcentral describes it as "partial 16S ribosomal RNA". It matches the Rfam family "Bacterial small subunit ribosomal RNA", at positions 29 to 506 of the family's 1533-position model. The record is from RNAcentral.